UGCUGCCAUCUGUAAGCAGGUGCUCAAGAUAAGGUUCUGGAAUUGUUUUAACCUUUUUCAGAAGAUCUGACAAAGAUCCACCAUCCAUAUACUCUAAGAUAAUUGAAAUGGCACCAUUGUCAUAGAAAGACUGGUAACACAUUACAACAUUUGGACAUUGCGCCGAUUGAUUAAUUAUUAAUUCCUUGGCAAUUGCUUUCCUUGCAUUCUCCUCAAUAGUCAUCUGUAUAACCUUUAAUGCAAAAAACUGCCCUGUCCAUUUAUGCUGCACCAGCUGCACAAUUCCACUACUGCCCUUCCCAAUGACCUUAAUGGUGUCUAUGUCUGCCAAAUUCAACUGGU
Molecule: unclassified non-coding RNA, 342 nt
Filed under: Hevea brasiliensis (rubber tree)
Lineage: Eukaryota; Viridiplantae; Streptophyta; Magnoliopsida; Malpighiales; Euphorbiaceae
Source: RNAcentral